AGCCGCGCUUCCUCCUCCUCCUCCUCCGCGGUUGCUCGGCCUGGCUGGGCUUCGGGAGAGGAGGAGCAGGAGCCGGGCUUGGUGCGCCUCCCGCUGCGCCCCGCUGGCUGGCUGGGGCUGCCACGCCGAGCCCUCCGCGCAGGCUGGAUGUCUUCUGACUUCCCUUGACUAUGGAGCUCGAAAGGAUGAACCCAGAGGGGGCUCCUGAAGAACCAGAGGAAGAGAAGACAGAUGAUGGCAAAAGCUGCCCUGCUUGCAUGGGCCGCUUCCAUGAAACAGUUUCCAAAUGGAUGCUUCCAGAAGAUACCAGAGGGACCUACCUUGAAAGAGCCAACUGCAUCCCACCCCCCAUUUUUAUCCUUGCAAUCAGUCUUGCCGAGCUAACUACAUUCAUUUAUUAUGCUGUUUGGAAGCCCCAAGAACAGUGGAUCACUCUAGAUUCCAGCAUCUGGGACAGUCCUUUUACUUACAGACCUGAUAAGAGGGAAGAAGCCUGGAGAUUCUUGUCCUAUAUGCUUGUACAUGCUGGCGUUGAACAUAUCUUAGGAAACCUUUUCCUUCAGCUUAUUUUAGGAAUCCCCCUUGAAUUGGUUCACAAAGGACUCAGAGUCGGGCUGGUGUACAUAGCAGGAGUCAUUGCGGGUUCCUUAGCAAGUUCAGUCUGUGAUCCACGCCAUGCUCUUGUAGGAGCAUCUGGAGGAGUUUAUGCUCUUAUCGGAGGAUACUUCAUGAAUGUUAUAGUGAACUUCCGGGAAAUGAUUCCACUAUUUGGAGUUGCCAGAUUACUAUUCAUCCUCUUAAUUACUUCUGCUGUCAUGGGAAUUUCCCAAACGGUGAGCUCCAGAGAGGGCUUGGACAUCUGUUGCGUUUUCUUGGUAACGUGAAAUAGCAAAGCAAAGAUGUGAGUAAAAGAUAUUCUAAUAUCUAUUGCAUAGGUCCCUAGUGCAGUACCUGUUGACACGUUUCCUGGUGCCCGCUAAAUGUUUUUAGAAAGUAAGUGGAGCCAGCAGGUCUUGGUCACUGGAGAUCUGAUUGGCUGUGCAGAUUAAAAUAACGUUGUUUCUGUGUUACCUGCCAACAUUGUGUUGGCCUUCUUGUCUCUCAAUCUUCUUCCCCAGGGUAAUUUUUAAUUUACCCCUCUUCUCCAUAGCAUUUGUGCUUUCUCUGUGUGUCUGUGCAGGAAGCACAGCCAUUUUGUGGUUGACUCUGCUUCCCGCAGCAGCCAUUUUGUGCUUUCACCCGCCACCCUAUGUCAGAAUUCCAGUUGCGCCCACAAGCUUAAAAAAGGUUGGGGACUCCUGAUCUAUUGUCCUGACAGGAUGGAAGGGGAGGAGUUGUGCACUAAUAAUAAGGUACAAUAGUUGACUUCACCUAAUAAUAGGGUAACGUCUACUGGAAGACGUGCAUUUUUUCUCCUUUCACCCCAGAAAGUAGCCCUGGCUUAACUCACAGUUCUACAGAUCCUUUCACAUGAAGCAUUUGAAGAUUUAAGACUCCAGUGGCAGGUUUAAGGUCCUCUCCUCUGCUUACUUUUCUCUCUCUCUUCUUGUAUUCUCUCCUUAUAACUUUCUGUACCUCACUGGCUGUUCCAGUAUUGCACAGCUAACCAUUUGUGGGUUGCAGCCUGUCCAGUUGGUGGUGGGCUCUGAAAUGUUUGGAGAUUGAACAAUUAUUGGCUGCUAACAAGAUGUAUUGAUUUCCUAGUUGGGACAGACAUAGGAUUUGCUUUGUACAGAAGAUUUGCUACUGCGGAUGUGCCUAUAGUUUCCUUUGUGGCCCACAUUGCAGGUGGCCUCGCUGGAAUGUCAAUGGGUUAUGUCAUAUUCAACGAUUUUGAUAAGAAUUUUAUUAAAGAUCCAAGAUUCUGGGUCUC
RNA transcript from Eublepharis macularius, 1873 nucleotides. It is a transcript of the gene named rhomboid like 2, with no coding region annotated. Lineage: Eukaryota; Metazoa; Chordata; Lepidosauria; Squamata; Eublepharidae. The record is from RefSeq and is a predicted model, not a curated record. The transcript is spliced from 8 exons.